This is a long non-coding RNA of Lolium perenne, 5852 nucleotides long. RefSeq lists it as uncharacterized. The record is from RefSeq and is a predicted model, not a curated record. NCBI's taxonomy places the organism in Eukaryota, Viridiplantae, Streptophyta, Magnoliopsida, Poales, Poaceae.
GAGAUAUAUAUGUACAUGUGAGCGUCUAUCGAUGUAGUGUGCUUGGAAAAAAGAUAUCCAGCGUAGAGUUGCUCUUUAAAAAAUCCAGCGCAGACCUCUCCCUCAUCCCCUUCUCUCUCGCCCCUUCUCCGAUUUGGCUUUCCUCUACUGACCAAGUGCUGCCUAUGGGAGCUGUUCCGGCAACGGUGGAUGGAUGUCUAUGUCUAGCUAGCUCUGCCUGUUGUCAGAAAGAUCCACUCAAUCAAUUGGACAUCCUGCUUCAAGAGUCGUGGCUUUUUGUGAAAGCUGCAAAUCAAGGUGCGUGAUGUCUGCCUGCCGCUCAGAUCUCAGUAGUACCACAAGUAGAGCGUAUUUACUUUUCACCCAAAUACGUGCUCUGUACACUCCGUUACAGAUCGAUGGGAUCCGCAGGUUAGCUUGUUCUAGCUUGCUUCAAAAUGGAAAUCGGUAGCUUGCUCGUUGCUCCUCUUUCCUCUUUACCUUUUGUUUUUUCCUCCUUAUCUUGUUCCUCACCCUGUGCUAAGCUGAGCUGAGCCGCCCCAGCUCAUCUAGGUAAGGCCGGUGGAUCUCUCAAUCUCUUCUUUUCUUUGCACGUACGUAGAUAUACUAUAUCUCUGGGCAGGUGAGAGGGCCAUUGUUUGUUCAUCUGGUUCUACGAAGAACCUGCUUCUGUAUGCUUUUUUUUUCCCCGCAGGGAUAUACAUGUAUAUUAGUACCACUUAUGAUGGCGAUUUCUCUUAUUAUCCUGUGACCAUAUACUGCAUCUCAUUCCAUACUAUGUCGCUAGCUGAUUCCCUAUUUCCUUGGCAUCUGAUUUAGCAAAGGUUUUUGUGCCAUGCCCCCUCCUAGAUCUGCUUCUUCCUCCUCCCCAAAUGCUCAUGCCACCGGGACGGAUUCCCAGCCGGUUUCGGGAACGACCACGUUAUAAGCGUAGAUCCAUGAUACAUAAUACCUCUUCUAAUCAACCGAUGCUGUAGAUAACCAUGAGGGGCGACUAAGAUGAGCACUACUACUACUACUAUAGUUUUUGAACCGCAGAAAAUAGAUGAGUACCACUAUCACAUGAAAGUUUAACCAUAACAAAUAUACUCCAUUGUUUUAAGUUUUUUUUCUCUCCGAUCUAGCUCUGACCUGUACUCUGGCUUAUUUGAUACUUCCUUCAUUCCGUAUUACUUGCUGCUGAUGUAGUACAAACCUACUAAGUAAGCAACAAGUAAUAUGGAAUGGAUCGGAGGAGUAGUUUAUUUUACCAUCUUGUAGAUUCAUGACGGCCACCCUGCUCAUGGGCGAUGCGUGAUUGUGCGCACUCGGAUGGAUCUGGCUCUUCCUUACAAGUUACAUUGCCACCAGAUAGGGAAAUAUCGAUGUGAAGCUAUUAACGAGUUUCCAUGCCUAUCUUACAAUCUUCUUAGAACUACGCCUCCUUUUGUUGGUUCCGUGGCGUAGCACAGGUGUCUUUGCUACUACUUAAAAUGAAAAACAGAUAUAAAGAAUACUGCGAAUUGAUAUAGACAUGCUGGCUAAUUUAGCCUCAUUGCUCGUGUGCUUUUUUUCAUCUACAUGUUGUAGCCGUUCUAAACCUCACCCUGAAAAAACAUUCUUUACUAACAAAAGACUUUUUGGUACACUUGAAAGGUAUCCCCCAUAAUAUUAAAGCUGCCAAAAAGAGAGAAAAAAAUAUAUUGCCACAAAUUGAUUAGCUGCCAUUUCCUUUUUUUCUAAACAAGAGUACAUUUUGAUGCAAAAAUGGACGUUAGAAAUGUUAUAAUACUGGUGAAAUAUUGGCCAGUGAACUGUAUAUAGCGAUACAGCACCAUGAUCAGUGAACUCUAAACAAUAAGGUGGUGGGCGAUUUUCUAUUGUACUGUGUAAAUAUUCGUUCUUAUUGUUUAGCACGGUUCAAAACCAUCCGUUCAGGAUCUCGAUCAUCUAGAAAAAUAGGUCGUGAUAAACAUAUAAUCUGAACACGCGCACAAUAGAUAUAUAUAACUGCAUGAUUAGAUUUUAUUUUUAGUGGUGACGCACGAAUAGCAUACUUGUACUGCCUACAUACAUACAGAAAGGGCAUGUCAGCAUGAGUUACACUUCCUGUUGCUUGGUUUGCAAAUACAUCCACUCUUUAAAUAAGUAACUCUAGAUAAAUAUAGUGGCAACUGGCAAGUUUGGUCCUCGUAAGAACAAGACGGUCCAAUGAUUACUCCCACCCUGGAUGCUCAAGAAGUGGCAGUGGAAGUGCCACUGCCUAGCUAGCCGGAAUAGCCAUACAAAGGACAUACCAGAGCUAACUAAAAGAGCCAUGUGGGAAAGUUCAAUAAUAUAGCACAAACACAAGAUAUAACAACAAACACUAACAUUUAAAGACAUGAGUUUUCACAAGUGCCAGCUUUUAACUUAAUAUAUUUGAAUCCACGGACCGUGCCUCUCUGGCCACCAAGGCGAAUAUCAGGUAGAGAACACCAUUAGAUUAGUACGCGAUAUGGAUAUAGUACUCUCAAAUUUAGGAUGUUACCAGCAGCUAUAAGCUACCAUCAGGGCACAAAUAAAAGGUAGUACUUAAUGCAGUUCAACUGAUAACGACAAAAUCACAGCUGCUCCAGCUUCCCUCUACCCUCUGAACUCUGCUCUAACAAUUCCUGCAAAGAUAAGCAACAUAAUUUGGUCAAUACACUACGGCCUCAAAGUAUUGGCAAAACAUAACAUAGUAUAGUUUUGCAUGAAGACAUAAGUUUUUGUAUUCUGUAUCUGCUCUCAAUGGUGAUAACUAUUUUCUAUCAAAACUUGUGAUGAUUCAAGCACAGAUCCAUGGAAAGAAGAAAAUAGGCGGAAAUCGGAAAAGGUACAUAUCUAAACUCAAAAUAGGAGUAAAUGCUCGCAGGCUACGCUGAAGCAAAAGUAAAAACAAUCAUCCUCCCAUUAGAAUCACUCAACAACAAUGCAGAUCUUGUAAAUUGUUAGUUGGGGGAAGAUGGUCAGGUUGUAGCAACAUUGUUAAAUAAAACACUUCAAUUCUAAUGAUUUGGAUCUGAUCUAGCAUUAUGCUGGAGAGGUGUCAGGUGAUGCUAAAUUCAGUGUUCCAGAUGCAAGAGUUGUGCAAGAACGUGUAUAAUGAAAACGUAAGUUCUAUUUCCUAGAAAAUCUUUGAUUACUAAAUGCCUGUUUCAGUAGGAAACUCUGGUGUCAUAUUCAGGAUUUUGUUAUACAAGUAUCCUUGUUAACACAAAAUUAUGCAUAAAAAGACAUGUAAUUAAGUAGAACAUAUAAUAGCUGGAAACUAUGAUAUAUAAUUAAGUAGAAUAGAUAACAGUUUUGAUACGAAAUUAUGCACAACUAAGAUAAAUAAUUUAGUAAAACAUAUAUAUAGUUUUACGGGGAAAGUAAGACACAUAACUACUCAUCUGUUGUCAUGCUUCAUGAAGAUUAAUGGUGAGUUUUUUGUUUUGUUUUUUUGUGAUGGUGAACAGUGUCAUCAUCUUUGGCUUACAUGUAUAAGCGUCAUCAUGUAUUUGGUUGGUAACUCUUGGAAGGGUUAUCAUGUUUACAUACAUGAGAAAAAUUGGGCAAAUAAAAUACCCCCAAACUCUUUUCACCUGACCAAAAUGAAGAGGAUAGAAUCUGUUUUUGCUCAUGUGGAACUAUGGUAGUGACAACGAAAAAUCCCAGAGUGGCUAGGCACGUCAGCAACUCGGCAUGUUAACAAUAUAAACACCAAUCUGAGAGGGGUCCUAGAUGGACAAGUUACUUCGGCAGUGAAACAAAACAAAAAUCCUAAGUAGACAAGGUACCUAGGCGAUGAAACAAAACAAACAAAUUAUGCUAUUCACACUAUGCCCAAUAAUCAUUUUUGUCAAGUUAUAAUUGACAUUUCUACCUCGUCUCUCACACCUGUCCGCAUUUUACUCUAUAACAUUCCAUUUAUUUCAGCCUGCAAAUUCACAAGGCUGAAACAAAUACAAUAUCAACUGUGAAGGACAUACACUAGUUUCAUGCUAAACUCAGGCAUUAUCAGCUUAAUGCUUCCACGUUUAGGUUAACCAAUACACGCAUAAGCUAUCCCCUAUUUAGAAGCAACAGUUAAUAAUAUGUUAAAUUGGGAUGUGCUUAAACAGCUUCUAAUACAUAUUUUUACUAUUAAAUUGCAAUCGGUGGUGUCAGUAGGUAGAAAACCCGUUUGGUACAUCCAAAAUCCAAGCUUCAUGCCUCAAAAAAGCCGGAAGCUAUCACUCGCCAAAAAACCCGAAAACCAGCGUGAUAUAGCGAUCCGCACCAAAAAACUGGAAAACCAACACGAUAUAGCGAUCCCGCGUCAAAAAACCGGUUGACCACAUCGAUCGUCGCACAUAAAAAAACCGCUUUCUAAAGUUACAGGCUUUGCCACCGCCAAGUGAAACGUAUCGUUUCGCUGUUCUGUUCUGUGGAAAAGAAGAAAAAACCGUUCAUCUCGCAACUGCUCCAGAUCUGGGGCACAACAUGGCCGAUGCAGGGAUUGAUCUCGAUCCGGCUAUGGCUCAAGCUGGAGCACCAGGGCUGGAGUCAGUGCUCCUUCCGCCUUCGCGUAGAUCACCCCUCUUGUUAUCCGCUUUGUAGGAGGUACCCUCUGGUUCCUUAUUCUAAAUUGUGGUAUUUUUGUUGUAGAAUUGUCAAAAAACUUCUGAAACUUGACACAGGUUUUUCAUUUUCUUUUGGUAACUAUAUAUAUUGUUUUUGUUAGUGUUAGACCCUGAAGAAGAUUGAACUGACGAGAGGUGUUGCUUAAGAUAUUAUUUAGAUGCUAGUUCCUUAAUCUAUUAUUAGGUCGCACUAUCCGAACUACUAAAGGAGUAAAUUAUUUUAGAAAAGGUUAACAAAAAUAAAUUAGUUGGUACUUACUCUUGGUAAGGAAAAAAGAGCAGACAUGGGUACAAAUUAAUCUUAACACUCUUAAACAAACAUGAAAUAAAAACUAAUCAUUAAUAGGCGCGUACAUAUCAAUUAUUGACCCAUUGCAAGCGCACGGGCACUUAGCUAGCACCAAAAUAAUAUGCAAAUGCAAGUGACAGUAAGAGACAUCCCUAGACCUUGAUUAUUAUGUUUGUCUAAUUUGAUACAUAGGAAUAUCCACUAUAAGUAAAUUCUAUACUUUUUUACCAGGGACGUAAGAUAUACAGCAUAAUUACUCUUCCCUAGUGAUUUUCAAUGAAGCAUCAUGGUGAUUUCUUGGCUUUUCUUUUGCAAGGGUGACCAGUGUCAUUUUGGCUGACAUGCAUAAGCGUCGUCACCUAUUUUGCUGUUAACUCUUUGAAGGGAUAUAAUGUCUACAGGCUUGAGAAAAAAUGGGCAAAGAAGAUAACCCCAAAACUCUCUUCACCUGACCGAAAUGAAGAGGACAUUUUCGGUCAUGUGGAACUAUGGUAGUGAUAAAAAAAGAGCACAUGCUUGCGGGCUGUACUGAAGCACAAGUAGAAACAAUCAUCCUCACAUUAGAAUCACUCAACAGCAAUGCAGACCUCGCAUUAGAAUCACUCAACAGCAAUGCAGAGAUAUUGUGAAUUGUAAUUGUCAGGCUGUAGUAGCUUUGUUAAAUAAAAACACUUUGAUCCUAAAUUUCAACCAGGUAUGAUUUGGAUCUGCUAUAAUAUACGUUAGAGAAGUGCCAUGUGAUGUUAAAUUCACUGCUCCGAAUGCAAGAUCUCUCCAAGAAUGUGUAAUGAGAAUGUAAGUCCACUUUCCUAGAGAACCUUUGACUACUAAAUGCCUAUUUCAGAAGGAAACUCUGAUGUAUAUCAUGCAGCAUUUUAUUAUGCAAAUCUUGUAACACUCUUUUUGUAACAAUAUAAUAAAUAAAGCUAGAGAAAAGGAGCAGGAUUUAGUUAUUA